AUUGAACGCUGGCGGCAUGCUUUACACAUGCAAGUCGAACGGCAGCGCGGGCUUCGGCCUGGCGGCGAGUGGCGAUCGGGUGAGUAAUGCAUCGGAACGUGCCCAGUAGUGGGGGAUAGCACGGCGAAAGCCGGAUUAAUACCGCAUACGACCUGAGGGUGAAAGCGGGGGACCGAAAGGCCUCGCGCUAUUGGAGCGGCCGAUGUCGGAUUAGCUAGUUGGUGGGGUAAAGGCUUACCAAGGCGACGAUCCGUAGCUGGUCUGAGAGGACGACCAGCCACACUGGGACUGAGACACGGCCCAGACGCCUACGGGAGGCAGCAGUGGGGAAUUUUGGACAAUGGGGGCAACCCUGAUCCAGCCAUGCCGAGUGCGGGAAGAAGGCCUUCGGGUUGUAAACCGCUUUUGUUCGGGAAGAAAUUCUCUGGGCUAAUACCCAGGGGGGAUGACGGUACCGGAAGAAUAAGCACCGGCUAACUACGUG
This 484-nucleotide ribosomal RNA is filed under the name uncultured bacterium. RNAcentral's name for it is "partial 16S ribosomal RNA". It matches the Rfam family "Bacterial small subunit ribosomal RNA", at positions 29 to 507 of the family's 1533-position model. The record is from RNAcentral.